RNAcentral lists this ribosomal RNA (720 nucleotides) under uncultured crenarchaeote. Its description in RNAcentral is "bacterial SSU rRNA". It matches the Rfam family "Archaeal small subunit ribosomal RNA", at positions 198 to 922 of the family's 1478-position model. The record is from RNAcentral. Lineage: Archaea; Thermoproteati; Thermoproteota.
ACUCCCAUGGGAUGGGACUCGGCCUAUCACCUUGUUGKUGAGGUAAUGCCCCACCAAGGCGAUUACAGGUACGGGCUCUGAGAGRARAAGCCCGGAGAUGGGUACUGAGACACGGACCCAGGCCCUAUGGGGCGCAGCAGGCGAGAAACCUUAGCAAUGUGCGAAAGCACGACUGGGUCAGUCCGAGUGAUUCCUGAUAAAGGAGUCUUUUGCCUGYCCUAAAAGCACACGUGAAUAAGGGGUGGGCAAGUCUGGUGUCAGCCGCCGCGGUAAUACCAGCACCUCGAGUGGUCAGGACGUUUAUUGGGCCUAAAGCAUCCGUAGCCGGCUUUGCAAGUCUUCGGUUAAAUCCACCUGCUCAACAGAUGGGCCGCUGGAGAUACUACAGAGCUAGGGAGUGGGAGAGGCAGACGGUAUUCAGUGGGUGGGGGUAAAAYCCUCUGAUCCAUUGAGGACCACCAGUGGCGAAGGCGGUCUGCCAGAACACGUUCGACGGUGAGGGAUGAAAGCUGGGGGAGCAAACCGGAUUAGAUACCCGGGUAGUCCCAGCUGUAAACGAUGCAAACUCGGUGAUGCAUUGGCUUAUGGCCAAUGCAGUGCCGCAGGGAAGCCGUUAAGUUUGCCGCCUGGGAAGUACGGACGCAAGUCUGAAACUUAAAGGAAUUGGCGGGGGAGCACCACAAGGGGUGAAGCUGCGGUUCAAUUGGAGUCAACGCCGGA